CCUACGGGAGGCAGCAGUAGGGAAUAUUGCUCAAUGGGGGAAACCCUGAACCAGCAACGCAGCGUGGAGGAUGAAGGUUUUCGGAUUGUAAACUCCUUUUGUUAAAGGAGAUAAUGACGGUAUCUAACGAAUAAGCACCGGCUAAUUCGGUGCCAGCAGCGGCGGUAAUACGGAGGGUGCCGCCGUUACUCGGAAUCACUGGGCGUAAAGGGCGCGUAGGCGGGUUAGCAAGUCAGAUGUGAAAUCUUACGGCUUAACCAUAGAACUGCAUUUGAAACUGGUAUCCUAGAGUACAGGUGAGGUAGGGGGAAUUCGUGGUGUAGCGGUGAAAUGCGUAGAGAUCAAGAAGAAUUCCGAUUGCGAAGGCAGCCUGCUAGACCAUCACUGACGCUGAUGCGCGAAAGCGUGGGUAGCAAACAGGAUUAGAUACCCCUGUAGUC
Molecule: ribosomal RNA, 440 nt
Filed under: uncultured bacterium
Lineage: Bacteria
Description: partial 16S ribosomal RNA
Rfam family: Bacterial small subunit ribosomal RNA
Source: RNAcentral